GCCCAGCUAGCUUAGUCAGUAGACCGUGAGACUCUUAAUCUCAGGGUUGUGGGUUUGAGCCCCAUGUUGGGUG
RNAcentral lists this transfer RNA (73 nucleotides) under Nipponia nippon (crested ibis). It matches the Rfam family "tRNA". Rfam says of the family: Transfer RNA (tRNA) molecules are approximately 80 nucleotides in length. Their secondary structure includes four short double-helical elements and three loops (D, anti-codon, and T loops). Lineage: Eukaryota; Metazoa; Chordata; Aves; Pelecaniformes; Threskiornithidae. The record is from Rfam by way of RNAcentral.